AAUGGACGAAAGUCUGAUCCAGCCAUGCCGCGUGAAGGAUGACGGCCUACGGGUUGUAAACUUCUUUUAUGUAGGAAGAACCCCUCCUCGUGAGGAGGGCUGACGGUACUACACGAAUAAGCACCGGCUAACUCCGUGCCAGCAGCCGCGGUAAUACGGAGGGUGCAAGCGUUAUCCGGAUUCAUUGGGUUUAAAGGGUGCGUAGGCGGGAAGCUAAGUCAGUGGUGAAAUCUCUCGGCUCAACCGAGAAACUGCCAUUGAUACUGGUUUUCUUGAAUGCGAUUGAAGUGGGCGGAAUAUGACAUGUAGCGGUGAAAUGCAUAGAUAUGUCAUAGAACACCGAUAGCGAAGGCAGCUCACUAAGUCGUUAUUGACGCUGAGGCACGAAAGCGUGGGGAGCGAACAGGAUU
RNAcentral lists this ribosomal RNA (410 nucleotides) under uncultured Flavobacteriia bacterium. RNAcentral describes it as "bacterial SSU rRNA". It matches the Rfam family "Bacterial small subunit ribosomal RNA", at positions 370 to 779 of the family's 1533-position model. Lineage: Bacteria; Pseudomonadati; Bacteroidota; Flavobacteriia. The record is from RNAcentral.